GUAGUCUGCAACUCGACUACAUGAAGCUGGAAUCGCUAGUAAUCGCGGAUCAGAAUGCCGCGGUGAAUACGUUCCCGGGUCUUGUACACACCGCCCGUCACACCAUGGGAGUCGAUAACGCCCGAAGUCAGUGACCCAACCUGUAAGGAGGGAGCUGCCGAAGGCGGGAUUGAUAACUGGGGUGAAGUCGUAACAAGGUAAC
This 202-nucleotide ribosomal RNA is filed under the name uncultured bacterium. RNAcentral's name for it is "partial 16S ribosomal RNA". It matches the Rfam family "Bacterial small subunit ribosomal RNA", at positions 1300 to 1500 of the family's 1533-position model. The record is from RNAcentral.